CACAGAGGAGCAAUCGUAAAUGCACGUAUACAAUCUGUGGACACAGUAAAUGGAGCUUUUUAAAUUGAAACAUAGAAGACAAAGGAAGGUCAACCCCUGCACCAUUAGAGAGAAAACACCAACAAUCAGAUUCUUCAAUAUAAGCAGCAGAGAGAGACAACUGCAACUGACUGGUCAUGAAGCGGAAGAGAAGAUAGAAAAGAGGAGCAGAGAGAGACAAGGACACAAUACCAACUAAGAGAAUACAUUUAAUAAAUGAGUUUAAUGACUUGAAAGAGAGAAGAAAAAAUGUGAGUGUAACAUGGUCAGUCCCCCAGCAGUCUGAGCCUAGAGGAACAUAAUUAAGGGAUCUGCAGGGUCACCUUUUCAUUUACGACAGCUAGCCAAGCAUGUCUUUUAUCCUGUCUUCCUUCUCUC
Molecule: long non-coding RNA, 417 nt
Organism: Oreochromis aureus
Lineage: Eukaryota; Metazoa; Chordata; Actinopteri; Cichliformes; Cichlidae
Exons: 3
Source: RefSeq, a predicted model, not a curated record